AACGCACAUUGCGCCCCUUGGCAUUCCAUGGGGCAUGCCUGUUCGAGCGUCAUCUAAACCCUCAAGCCCCCGGCUUGGUGUUGGGUGCCUGUCCCCGCUCCCCGCGCGGACUCACCCCAAAUGCAUUGGCAGCCGCCUCUCGGCUUCUUGCGCAGCACAGUGCGCAGCGAGGCGAGGUGAGGCGUGCGUCCAGCAAGCAACCACCCAAGUUUGACCUCGGAUCAGGUAGGGAUACCCGCUGAACUUAA
RNAcentral lists this unclassified non-coding RNA (248 nucleotides) under uncultured fungus. Its description in RNAcentral is "partial contains 5.8S ribosomal RNA, internal transcribed spacer 2, and large subunit ribosomal RNA". Lineage: Eukaryota; Fungi. The record is from RNAcentral.